Talpa occidentalis (Iberian mole) is the source of this 1646-nucleotide long non-coding RNA. RefSeq lists it as uncharacterized. NCBI's taxonomy places the organism in Eukaryota, Metazoa, Chordata, Mammalia, Eulipotyphla, Talpidae. The record is from RefSeq and is a predicted model, not a curated record. The transcript has 3 exons.
CUCUCUGUCUGGCCUGCUCCCCGGGAGAGUCCUCCCCUAGGACUCUGAAAACAAAGCUCCUUUACUAACCUCGCCUCAUAAUCACUAAUAACAGUGAUUAUUUCUCUCUUCUGCCCAACCCCACAGCCAGCGCUAGUGCUCAAGCCUGACAACCAGCAGUUAGUUCAGGGGAGAAGGACAGAACCCUCCCAGGUCCUCACCAGCUCUUCCCUCAGAACCAGCUCCUGUGGGUCAUCUCUCCCUGACCUCAAAAUUACCCCCCAGGAUGAGAAAGCAAAGGCUAGAGAGGAGCAAGGACUCACAGAAGGCCACUGCUGCUGGCCUGUCCCCUUUCCUCAUGUGGUGCCGGAAUCCGGGAAGAGACUGAGCCGCAGCAAAGACAUGUCUAAAGGUCAAUGACAGCAGGUUUCAAAUGCAACUGUGAAAAUGUCAAACAUCAGAUAAACCUGGCUGCCUCCAAAAAAACAUCAACAACAUGAAGCCAUGAGAAAAGGAUCAAGAGAAAAAUGGCCAUUCUGUUCUAUUCCACGGAGGGAAAUGCAGCCCUGGGAUCUCCAGGGCCUCUCCUGUCACCCAGGCCACACCAGGCCUUGCUCCUGUGGGUGCCACACACCAAUGCCUUUGGCUGUUCAGACAAUGGUCAGCUGGUGAAACUCCCACUGACGCCCUCCUUCCCUGCACCGGCCCCCACCUGCUGCAUCUUCAAACUCCUAAGUGAUUCACCCAGUGUCGCCUGCUCAGCAGCGCUUGCUCUAAUGCUCAGCUAAUAGUUCUCUGUUUCAGGCGCUGUCCAAACAUGUCCUAUAAAUCAGAAUCCAAUUACGGCACUAAGAAAAUUGGAAGCAACUUUAAUAAGCUCAGACCCCUCCCACAUGCUGUUUCUUCAGUCUUCUCUUUUCAGUAAUGAGAAUUCUUUAAGGGAAAAGGCUUCUUUUAACUGAGUCUGUUCUCUCCAUCUCUUACCUGAAGUCCCCGAGGACAGAAAGAUAACAGGAAGGGGACUGCUUCCAGCUCCUCUUUUGCUCUUCACAUAUAAAGCAGAUAUGAAGAGCAGUUUCAGACUUACUCCCCCUUAAAAUGUUCAACACACAUUUAAUGACUUGCACGCCAGGCACUGUAGUAGAUGCUGUCAAAGCAUUACUCACCCUGGAGGGCAACUGCUGUCACGACUAGUAGAACCUUAGCUGCAAGGCCUGAUGGGAACGCAAGGGUAGGCCAGUGGUAGUAAGGCUUUGUAGGGUAAAUGAAAUCAGUCAAGAUUUUUACACCACUAGCCUCUGUGGCUGUCACCUGCACGCUUGAUCAUGUUAAUGCAGAAGGCACUUGGGAGCAUGGGCAGGGGGCAUGCAUGUCUGUGUGGACACCUGGAGCAUGAGCGUGUGUACGUGUGUAAGUGUGCACACCUGAGCCUAGAGGCCAGGGAAAUGAGGACCAGUGGCAUGACUACAGAGAAGUGAGACCAUGAGAGAACACCAGAGAGAGUCCAGAAAAAGAGUAAAGAUUCAUGGGGGCCUGGGAGGUUCAGUUGCCUGUCUGCCUCCCAGCCCCUCACACCUAUCUGGUCUGUGCCUGCCUCCUUGCAUGCCAGCCUCCCUGCCUGGUGUGCCUGUGUACCUGGUUCUCUGAGAGAGCAUUAAAGGCCUGAA